AACAUGUUGUCUGUGGUACCCUACUCUGGAGAGUGACAAUCAUGUAUAAUUAAAUUUGAUUGACACUUCUGUGAGUAGAGUAACGCAUGACACAUACG
MicroRNA precursor from Cercocebus atys (sooty mangabey), 98 nucleotides. The record is from Ensembl. Lineage: Eukaryota; Metazoa; Chordata; Mammalia; Primates; Cercopithecidae.